AUUGAACGCUGGCGGCAUGCCUUACACAUGCAAGUCGAACGGUAACGGGCCUUCGGGUGCCGACGAGUGGCGAACGGGUGAGUAAUGUAUCGGAACGUACCUUUCAGUGGGGGAUAACGUAGCGAAAGUUACGCUAAUACCGCAUAUUCUGUGAGCAGGAAAGCAGGGGAUCGCAAGACCUUGCGCUGAUUGAGCGGCCGAUAUCAGAUUAGCUAGUUGGUGAGGUAAAGGCUCACCAAGGCGACGAUCUGUAGCGGGUCUGAGAGGAUGAUCCGCCACACUGGAACUGAGACACGGUCCAGACUCCUACGGGAGGCAGCAGUGGGGAAUUUUGGACAAUGGGGGCAACCCUGAUCCAGCCAUGCCGCGUGAGUGAAGAAGGCCUUCGGGUUGUAAACUGCUUUUGUACGGAACGAAAAGCUCUCUCUAAUACAGGGGUGAAUGACGGUACCGUAAGAAUAAGCACCGGCUAACUACGUGCCAGCAGCCGCGGUAAG
Molecule: ribosomal RNA, 497 nt
Filed under: uncultured bacterium
Lineage: Bacteria
Description: bacterial SSU rRNA
Rfam family: Bacterial small subunit ribosomal RNA
Source: RNAcentral